AGGCAUGGCAUCCAGGGGGAGUUAAAGUCUUACUAUUUUAGUUGAAUUCAAGACUACAUGAAAGAACUUGGUGCUGACAGUAUUCAGUUUUCACAUGGAUAUGGUUUUCCAAGACACCAUAGUUUUCUGCUCCUUGUCCUUACUCAUCUGUCUACUUCCCUCUUAGAUUAAAUAUUUUCAACAAAUAUGCUUAUUUGAAAGGGUCUUGUUUGAAUUUUAAUGUUAUUAUUUUGCUGCCCCAUUUAUACCUUAUACUUAAAUAAAUUGCUUCUCCCCACUGCUGUA
Long non-coding RNA from Orcinus orca (killer whale), 285 nucleotides. RefSeq lists it as uncharacterized. Lineage: Eukaryota; Metazoa; Chordata; Mammalia; Artiodactyla; Delphinidae. The transcript has 2 exons. The record is from RefSeq and is a predicted model, not a curated record.